Long non-coding RNA from Glossina fuscipes, 3702 nucleotides. RefSeq lists it as uncharacterized. The transcript is spliced from 2 exons. The record is from RefSeq and is a predicted model, not a curated record. NCBI's taxonomy places the organism in Eukaryota, Metazoa, Arthropoda, Insecta, Diptera, Glossinidae.
GAAAAACGAAAAAGGAAAGAGGAACAAAAGUAGAGAAAUUCUUUUUUUAAAAUUUUGAACCUCUCCGGAGACUAUUUUACCAUAACUCGUAACUGUCCAAAGCCAAUAGGGGCACGGGGGAGCAUUGAAGAGAAGGCCUUCAAACUUAUUGCAUUUAUUAUAAACAAUUUUGGUCGCAAAAUUCCGUUCGUCGAUGUCGUUCGCAGCGUGAGUGGCCAACUGUGCCGAGAUUUUGAGAGCGCAUUCAUUAAGAUCUCUAAGUUAAACGAGAUUUUCCUAAAUUUGCAAAUAGAAGGGAAUAUUAUGCAUCGUGAAGACGUUUAGCAAAAAUGCACAACAAUUUUCUUUGCCCACUGCAGCGUUUAAUCUCCGGAAUGCUCUUCCCGCUUGUCGCUCGAUCAACACAACGCAUUAGUAGGUCAUUUGAUCUGGAGAUCAAUAAUAAAACUUUAAGGAUGUAUUUGUGAUCGGUAUCGAAUUCUGUUUCAUUCAAAUGAAACUUUCUCAACAAAGUUUCUUUCGUUUUCAAAAUAAUAUCUAACCAUGUAUGAGAUAUGAAUGUAUCGUUAUAAUCGGGGACUCGUACAACACAACAACGCAGAAUGGAGUGUCAGUGUUCGCUUGGCUUUAAAAACAACUAACAACAGAAUGAAAGCAAGUUAUGGCAAUCAUUUUUCCUAAUUGAUUACCGUAGCAAUGAAAUCAAUAACACACUGCCAAAAGAGUGUUUCCAAACUUGACUUGACUCAAUUAAAAACACCACCAGUUCGAUAGAAAAACCUAAUUUUAACAAAGCAAAAAGUUUACUUCUCCUAAAGACAUGAACACAUUGGCAUAAAAUGUCAACUUUCAAUAGCCCAAUUGAAGAAAUUUUGUUAUUCUCGGAAAAAUCACUUUAGAGAUACGGUAAGUGAAAGGAAAGUGAUGUAGUAUAGGUAGUAAGUAGCGGAGAAUAUAUUAAAGGAUAUUCAUGCCGCGGGUUUUCGAGUUGUUUCCUUGUUAGCUUGCAAAAAUGUAUUAGCGUUUAAUGAGCCUUAUAAUCUCUCUGUUCUGUUUAUGUCGAUUUUGUAUGUAUACGCGAAUGUGGAUAUUAUACUGACAUUAUCGAAAUUGACAGAAUAAGCCAAAGUCCGAUGGCAGAGAAUUGAUUUGAUAAUGAAGAUGCGGAAAAAUAUUUUUCAAAUUUUUAAUAAAUGAUAAGUAAAAACGCUACAAUGGGUCACGGCCCACUAUUAAAUACAUCAAACCAUCGUACAGUUAUUUAAGGCAUUCUAUGAGAAAUGCUCGAAUAAUUGGAUUGAUUCAAACUUAUCUGUCCGUCUCUCUGUCUCACGUUUUCGGGAUUACUAUUCAUGAAAAGGAUAAUUAGAAUACGCCUGUUCACUGGUCUACAGUUUACGAAGCAGACUUCCCAAUAUAUUCCUCAAGCGAAUGCUACGUGGGAACAGUCUUUUUCCCCGUUAAAAUAUAACGUUUAGUCAACACAUGUUAUUCGGAUUUUUCUAUUCUUUUGAAGAUGUCACUAAAACCAUAUGAAUUCGACAAUUGAAAUACUAUGGAAUUUUGAUGGGCAUCCAUUGAGGGUAGGAGCUUUUCAAAAAUGAUAAAGAAAGUUGUCAUUAAUCCCGGGACUUAUUGAUCGAUAUAUUUUCUUCACUAGAGUACGGAUCACACCUUAAAUGUUUAAAUGUUCAAUCAAAAUCAAUGACGCAGUCGAUUCUUAAACUUAACAUCUCCAUUCUAUUAAAGAUAAACCAGAAUAUGUAUAUAUGUAUGUAUAAUAUAUUUUAUAGGAUACCCAUUGUAUAUAUUUCCGCACGCUGUAAACAUUCAUUAAAGUUAAUAUGCCCCCUGUGGAUGGUGUAUAUAAUCAGUAAUUAUAAACAUAUUGUACGUCUUUUCGCACAAAGCGAUUAAACCUAAUGAUUGAACAUAAAUAAACACGCCUUUUGUGAUUGUUUUAAUACAAAUAUAAAUUACUUACUUACAAAAGAGAAUUGCAUUGAAACGAUCAAAUUUCGUUUACAAAUUCAAAACAAAUUCGAAGCAAUAAACAAAUACAUAUUCGAUAAAGAUAGAAAAAUAAAAAUAUUAGUAAGCAAUAGACAAGUGAAUCGAUCAGACAAGAAACUUUUUGGGGCGUUUUCAACUGACUUCACUGUAACUCUCAUAAUCCAUCAAUUGAAUCAAAUUUAAUCUCGAGUUUUAUUACAAUUUUAAACUCAUUCGCAAAAAUGUUUUGUGAUACGUCUUUUUUUUUUUUUUUUGCCAAAGAUAUUUUAGUCUCUCCCAAGUGUAUGCGUACAUAUCAUUUUGUAGAUACACAUGUAUAUAUAUAUAUAUAUAUGGAUAUAUAUAUGAAAAGGUCUUAUUUAUCAAUGAAAUUUACGUAAAUAAAUUUCGAAUACAUUCAUUGAUCAACAAUACCCCUUAUGUUAUUUAUACUUACAGACCGUAUUCAAGCAGUUUACUUUCUAUUUUAUUCCUUUUGUUAUUUUUCUAGGUGAAGCAAAGACUAUCGGUCGACUAUUACAGUACGCAAGGGAAACAAUCUGUCUAUUAUUGUGUAAAGAGGGCUUUUUCAAUUUAUUUUAAAUCUCAUCCACAUCUGCAUAUUAGAGGAAGGAAGGAUACGUAUUAGAUUUCUUAAAUGGUGCAAGAACGUUUUUAUUGCCAAACAUAAUUGUAUAGCAAAGUGCGGGAAACGUGAGAUGCGUUUUUACGAAAAAUGAGUUCACGCAGCAUAACUCUCAACGAAUUACAUGCCUUCACUCAUCCAUUAGAAAAGCGUGCGAGAGAGAUUUGCGAUAAGUUAAUUUCAUUAGUAAAAGUUUGGCAAAUAUUCGCCAAAAUGUGUUAAAAAAAUUAAAAUUUUUAAAAACCUCUUCAUACUGCUCGAACUAUAGCGAUGUAAAUUAAAUGAGAUUUGUUUCUUUUUUUUUUUUUACAAAUCCCAAUAGGACGCUUCAGAGAACCCACAAAGCGCAUAUAUUCUUAAUGAGCAGCAAAUUCUGAAUCGAUUUAAGCAUGUCCGUCUAUCCGGUUGUCCGUCGAAGUAAUAUCUGAAAUGUUGCAAGUUGUUGAGCCAAAGUGCUCAUUACUCGAUAUAAGGAUUCAAAUUUUCACGUCCAUGACUUCUAUAUCAUCCAUAGGAGGCAAAAAAAAAACAAAAUCCUAUAUAAUUGUAAAUCAGCUUAUAAGACCAAGAAAUCAAGGCGACCAAAGGACACGCGGACAUGCUUAAAUCGAUUAAGAAUUUUGUGCUGAUUAAGAGUGCAUAUGCUCCGGAAGCGUUUUUGAGGCUUCUUUCUGGCCUUUGCAAACGUUUCGAAAAAAUGGAUAUAAUUCUCAUCCUUCGGUGAUGCGUAUAGAAGCAGGAAAAUAGCAAUUGCAAAUCUGACAAGAUUAUUGCCAAUGUAUAAGUAUUAUCUUCUUCUUUUUUUUUUUUUAAUACACUUUAAAAUUGAUAUCUUAGUAUUUAUUUAAAGCAAUAAAGGCGAUGGAGCGGAAAAAUGUGCCAAAAAGUUUGGAAAUUAUUGCAGUAAACUUAAACUGUACGCGAUUGUAAUGGACUUGAACUUUAUAAAUGUCCCGUAUCGAGAGAUUUGUGGAUGGAAACGUCUUUCUAUCGCCCGCUAACUCAUCCAUGUGCGCAGCUUUAUAUCUUUAAGUUAAACUUAAGUUAGCGCCCGAAAAUAAAAU